This 280-nucleotide ribosomal RNA is filed under the name uncultured archaeon. RNAcentral's name for it is "partial 16S rRNA". It matches the Rfam family "Archaeal small subunit ribosomal RNA", at positions 347 to 631 of the family's 1478-position model. The record is from RNAcentral.
ACUUUACAAUGCGGGAAACCGUGAUAAGGGAACUCCGAGUGUCCGUAAAUGCGGACUGUCCGUAUGUUUAAAAAGCAUGCGAAGAAAGGGCCGGGCAAGACCGGUGCCAGCCGCCGCGGUAAUACCGGCGGCUCGAGUGGUGGCCACUAUUACUGGGCUUAAAGCGUUCGUAGCUGGGUUGUUUAGUCUCUUGGGAAAUCUACCGGCUUAACCGAUAGGCGUCCAAGGGAUACUGGCAAUCUAGGGACCGGGAGAGGUGAGGGGUACUUCAGGGGUAUGA